Molecule: ribosomal RNA, 482 nt
Filed under: uncultured bacterium
Lineage: Bacteria
Description: bacterial SSU rRNA
Rfam family: Bacterial small subunit ribosomal RNA
Source: RNAcentral
AUUGAACGCUGGCGGAAUGCUUUACACAUGCAAGUCGAACGGUAGAGGGGGCAACCCCUUGAGAGUGGCGAACGGGUGAGUAAUAUAUCGGAACGUGCCCAGUCGUGGGGGAUAACGUAGCGAAAGUUACGCUAAUACCGCAUACGAUCUACGGAUGAAAGCGGGGGACUCGCAAGAGCCUCGCGCGAUUGGAGCGGCCGAUAUCAGAUUAGGUAGUUGGUGGGGUAAAGGCUCACCAAGCCAACGAUCUGUAGCUGGUCUGAGAGGACGACCAGCCACACUGGAACUGAGACACGGUCCAGACUCCUACGGGAGGCAGCAGUGGGGAAUUUUGGACAAUGGGCGAAAGCCUGAUCCAGCCAUUCCGCGUGCAGGAUGAAGGCCCUCGGGUUGUAAACUGCUUUUGUACAGAACGAAAAGGUUUCUACUAAUACUAGGAGCUCAUGACGGUACUGUAAGAAUAAGCACCGGCUAACUACGUG